RNAcentral lists this long non-coding RNA (473 nucleotides) under Cricetulus griseus (Chinese hamster). Its description in RNAcentral is "lncRNA (ENSCGRG00000025148.1)". Lineage: Eukaryota; Metazoa; Chordata; Mammalia; Rodentia; Cricetidae. The record is from RNAcentral.
UUUGUUUUCCGAGACAGGGUUUCUCUGUGUAACUCACUCUAUAGACCAGGCUGGCCUUGAACUCACAGAGAUCCACCUGCCUCUGCCUCCUGAGUGCUGGGGUUAAAGGUGUGCGCCACCACCACCAGGCCGCUUCCAUUCUUGUAAUCAGUAAAUGACAUCUUGCAGGAUACUACUUUCUGUUUACAGUGACAUCAUUUAUUUCAGGAAUAUUGUGUGGCACAUGAACUACUGAAGAAAGUAAGCCCCAUAGAAGCUGCACUUGUUAAAGAUCCUAGCAUGAAGUGUAAAGUCAGAUUCAGAUUUGGUGGUGAAACGUUUCCACCUUUUAUCGUGUUCAAAAUUUUUUUUAAAAAUGAUGGCCAUGGUUACAAGUAUUUCAGUGGGAAAGAUUUACUAAAGCCGUCAAGUAAGGUGAUGUUUCAUGAUGGAUGUUUUAUAUUAAUUUAUAUUAAUAUUGCUUCUUAACAUCU